RNAcentral lists this transfer RNA (77 nucleotides) under Candidatus Cloacimonadota bacterium. RNAcentral describes it as "tRNA-Ile". It matches the Rfam family "tRNA". From Rfam's summary of the family: Transfer RNA (tRNA) molecules are approximately 80 nucleotides in length. Lineage: Bacteria; Pseudomonadati; Candidatus Cloacimonadota. The record is from RNAcentral.
GCGCGGGUAGCUCAGUGGUUAGUAGCGCCGUUCUUAUAAAUCGGAAGUCGGGGGUUCAAUUCCCUCCCCGCGUACCA